This 535-nucleotide ribosomal RNA is filed under the name uncultured bacterium. Its description in RNAcentral is "bacterial SSU rRNA". It matches the Rfam family "Bacterial small subunit ribosomal RNA", at positions 277 to 804 of the family's 1533-position model. The record is from RNAcentral.
CGUAGCAUAGCCGACCUGAGAGGGUGAUCGGCCACAUUGGGACUGAGACACGGCCCAAACUCCUACGGGAGGCAGCAGUAGGGAAUCUUCCGCAAUGGACGCAAGUCUGACGGAGCAACGCCGCGUGAGUGAAGAAGGUUUUCGGAUCGUAAAACUCUGUUGUUAGAGAAGAACAAGUGCUAGAGUAACUGUUAGCGCCUUGACGGUAUCUAACCAGAAAGCCACGGCUAACUACGUGCCAGCAGCCGCGGUAAUACGUAGGUGGCAAGCGUUGUCCGGAUUUAUUGGGCGUAAAGCGAGCGCAGGCGGUUCCUUAAGUCUGAUGUGAAAGCCCCCGGCUCAACCGGGGAGGGUCAUUGGAAACUGGGGAACUUGAGUGCAGUAGGGGAGACUGGAAUUCCUGGUGUAGCGGUGAAAUGCGCAGAUAUCAGGAGGAACACCGAUGGCGAAGGCAGGUCUCUGGGCUGUUACUGACGCUGAGAAGCGAAAGCAUGGGUAGCGAACAGGAUUAGAUACCCUGGUAGUCCAUGCCGUA